UGGGGAAUAUUGGACAAUGGGCGCAAGCCUGAUCCAGCAAUGCCGCGUGUAGGAUGAAGGCCUUCGGGUUGUAAACUGCUUUUGUACGGAGCGAAAAGGUCUGCCCUAAUACGGUGGGCUCAUGACGGUACCGUAAGAAUAAGCACCGGCUAACUACGUGCCAGCAGCCGCGGUAAUACGUAGGGUGCGAGCGUUAAUCGGAAUUACUGGGCGUAAAGCGUGCGCAGGCGGUUAUAUAAGACAGAUGUGAAAUCCCCGGGCUCAACCUGGGACCUGCAUUUGUGACGGUAUAGCUAGAGUACGGUAGAGGAAGAUGGAAUUCCGCGUGUAGCAGUGAAAUGCGUAGAUAUGCGGAGGAACACCAAUGGCGAAGGCAAUCCCCUGGACCUGUACUGACGCUAAUGCACGAAAGCGUGGGGAGCAAACA
Molecule: ribosomal RNA, 427 nt
Filed under: uncultured bacterium
Lineage: Bacteria
Description: bacterial SSU rRNA
Rfam family: Bacterial small subunit ribosomal RNA
Source: RNAcentral